GCAGAAACAAGUGCGAUAAGGGUUCGAAGGUUUUGAUAUCUUUCUCGUUUUCUCCAGGAAGAAAAGAAGUAAAAGUAUCGGCAGCGGAAUAAGUGAUAGCGACGAUAAAGAUUUGUUGAAAAGAAAGUUUAGGGCUCGAGUUACUAAAUUCAAUCUGUGACUGACGGUCGAGACUACUGCUGGAAAUUGAGGCAAGUUUGUUUUGCCUUUGUGUUAGGGAGGACUUUAGAUUUAAAUUGGGUCUGUAGAUAAUUAUUGAUACAUUGUGACAUAGAUAUGCUUAAAAACUUACUUAGAAGUGUUGUGGAUGUGUAUUAGGAUAACUGUUUAUGGCUUAUUCGCUCCUGGUAACUGUGUACAACAGGGAUGUUUGAUUUAAGACUUUGUUGUCAGCUGAAGUCGUUAGAAUAUCUUGAACUCAUGAUUGGUAUUUUAGGAAAGUGGGAUUGUUAGUCAAGUCUCUCAGUUUUGGAGACCGUUUCUAUAUGUUGUUAGUUAGGUGCUUGUAGGUGUACCUAGGCAUUAGAUAAAUCUGACUCCACUUACUUUCUAAAAAGAAAAAAAAAAAAAGAAGAAAAAGAGUUUGAAUACACUAGGAAUUUAAGUCCCAUGUUCUAGUGCGUACCAUUAGGGGAGUAAAAUCCUUAGCUUAAAUGUACAGAGAUUGGAAAUUUGGAUAUUACUUUGAGUCAUGACACAAUUUGUUAAAUUCUUAAGCCUUAUUUAAAAUGUAUAAGCACCAUCUUAUAUUUGACUAAGUUUAGGCACAGUAGAUGAGAAUGGUACUAUAGCACUUAUGUUUUGUGUUACGUAUUACAUUUUUGUAUGGACAGUCAAGUGGUUUGGGAGGUUGCGUUGUCUUAUGUGUAUAGAUUUGAAUUUGAAGUGGUAUAGUCAUUCAAACUAUGCACCCACCAACCAUGGUCAGUUUGCUGUGUUGCUAUCGUGGUCUAGUGGAAAAAACCAAGGAAAAUAUAUUAACUUGUGAAAUGAAAAAUUUGCUAGAUUUUACAAUGAUCACUUGCUUAAAUUACUCUUUAGAAAGUGUGUUGUGCGGCUGUGAAAAGGGUUGAUAGUAGAAAAUGAUAUGUUUGUGUUGGUGUUUGGACUAAUCUAUGGAAAUUAGUUAUUACCAGAGGAUUCUUAGUGGCGGUGUAAGUUUAAACGUUAGGCUUACCAGGUCUGGAAUUAUGAUCCCGGGAUAUACGAUGGACCUGGGUGAAUUAAAUCAAAUCUCAAAUGGUGUAUGAGGUGUUAAUAGAGAAAGAGAAGGCGUUUGAGUGAUUUCCAGAUUCGGGAGGAUAUUUGAAGAUAUCUAACUGACGGUGGACAUCUACUCUUUUUAUUUAUUUUCGUUAUCUAGUUGUGAGGCAGUGGGGAUUUUUGAACUUGGGUAGUUUCCAUCAUUUUCGUGGAUUCAUAAAAAAAAUUUCUUGUUUGUGGAGCAUUUAAGAGUUGUUAAGUGCACAAUAUUUUUUUUUAGACGUCUUCAUUUUAUAGCAUAAAUAAAAUGUCCUUCUGCAUAUACAAUUGUAAUGGAAUGUGUUCCUAGUUUUCUGUGGUUAUGUACCUUGUUGCAGGAA
This is a long non-coding RNA of Papaver somniferum (opium poppy), 1583 nucleotides long. RefSeq lists it as uncharacterized. NCBI's taxonomy places the organism in Eukaryota, Viridiplantae, Streptophyta, Magnoliopsida, Ranunculales, Papaveraceae. The record is from RefSeq and is a predicted model, not a curated record. The transcript is spliced from 3 exons.